Long non-coding RNA from Hypanus sabinus (Atlantic stingray), 4676 nucleotides. RefSeq lists it as uncharacterized. The transcript has 3 exons. NCBI's taxonomy places the organism in Eukaryota, Metazoa, Chordata, Chondrichthyes, Myliobatiformes, Dasyatidae. The record is from RefSeq and is a predicted model, not a curated record.
AGACAGAAGCAAGCGAGAAAUCUGCAAAAGAACUCUGGCAGUUCUCCAAGAUGCUUGAAACAAACUACCAGCUGACUUUCUUAUAAAACUGCAUAACAGUUUUAAGAAAAUUGAUGCGGUUUUAAAGGCAAAGGAUGGUCACACCAAAUAUUGAUUUGAUUUAGUUUUUUUUUACUGUUCACUGUUUUUUAUAGUAAUUUUUUUGAUAUUUAGAAACUUCUAAUUUCAUUAUUUUUGAAAGCCACUUUACAGAAAUGUUUUACAUGUGCCUAAGACUCUUGCACAAUACUGUACAUCCAGGAUGAAAAGAACACAUGUAAACCAGCUUCAGUUAGGAAGUCACCCCACCAUAGUUAUUUCAUAAACACUGUCUACUGACUAGUGGUUGAGGUUUCAGAGUAUCACUGCAAUUGUGUUCUUGUUACAAGAAGAGAAGAGGAAGGAAAUAAUGUACAGAAUUGUUCCUUUGGCUUUAGUAGUAACCAUAAAGUUGUAUUUUAAAUAGUUCCUCAAAUUAAUCUGGCUGAUUUUGUUUGUGUAAUUGCAAUGGACUGUGGAAUUAUACUUACUCCAAGCAAGGAACAAACAACAGUUGAAUUUAAGGUCAUUGAAAGUGGCUAGGUUUGACAGUGAAUUUAUUUUUUUAAUAUUUCCAAGAGUGAUAUUUAAAACUAUUUUGUCCACCCAGCUACCUUCACCCCUGAACAGUUAUGGCAGCCAUUCCAAGGAGGGGAAUUUACUGAAGGCAUAGAUGUAAAGAGUAGGCAUACAACAAGCUGAUGCACAUGUUCUAAUCACUUUUCAAUUGCAUAACCAGCAUUCUAUGGAAACAAUUACUGAAGACUGGAAAAUUGAGUUGAAUGUGUUGAUAUUGUAAGGAUAAGUUUACCAAAACUGAUGAUAGGAAACAUCCCAACUUGUCAGUUUUCCAACAUUUAGCUCUGCAUUGAAUGCUAUGAUUUGGAAUUAAGUCAUGAUAAUCUUACAAAGAUUUUAUUUUUCAACCAGUUUAUUUUUAUAUUUACCCCCAGUUAAAUUUGGACCAAUUCCAAGACUGCCUAGUUUUGUGCAAGAAAAAAGAAAACAAGCAAAUUGAGAACUUCAAUACUUCAUUCUACUCAUUUCCAGUUACUGGUGAGCUGCUUUUUUCAAAGUUGACUAGAAGUCUGAGUAACAGUGUGCACCCAACUUGAAGUGAAAAGAGAAUAGGAAGAGACUAAACAUUUUCUUGGCUUCGAAGUUAGGUAAUAAUAUAUGAGAAAAAUUAAAAGGACAGAAAGUUGUUUGGAGCAAUAAAUGAUGCUAGCAUGCCAAUGAUAAACACACAAGAGAAAAGGUGCAGUUAAGCUCCACACAAUUUAUAGUAUGAAGAUAAAUUGGGAACUGUGACAGGACUGUUUUCUUGUGUUAUAAUCUGAGAUUGAAUCUCCCAUAUUUCAUAUUGAAUAACUUUUACUUUGUUCUGUAUCGUACUUCUAAGGAUACCCAAAGUUUCCUCCAGAUGAGAAAUCUACUUUUACUUAACUAUCCAGAUGGGAGGCUGAGCGAUACACACGCUCAGCAGGAGCGUUCUGGAGGAACUCGGCAGGCCAGACAGCGUCACUGGAAAAGAAUACAGUCGAUGUUUUGGGCUGAGACAUUGACUGUACUCUUUUCUAUAGAUGCUGCCUGGCCUGCUGAGCUCCUGCAGCAUUUUGCGUGUGCUGCUUGGAUUUCCAGCAUCUGCAGAUAUUUUCUUGUUUCAGGUGGGAGGUGUGAUGACCAUGUUAGAUUCAAUUCAAAUUGUGGUUGGUUUAGAUUUUCUUUAUCUGCAGCAUGUUGGGAAAUGAGUUGACAAUAUUCUCAACAUUGUUCCACAGCUGUUUGGAACAUACGGACCUUAAUUAUUUUCUGAAGCCGAGCCUGUACAUAUCAGACAAUGCAAGGUGGAAUUUGAUAUAGCAUGUUACUAAGAUUAUUUGCAUUUCUGAAUCCAUUUGUUUUAAAUCAAUGUAUGACUCCCUGGUUAAAUUCUGGCAUUUGAAUAUUUUGUGGUUACUCUAACUUCAGUUUCUCAGCUUUUUGCAGCCGGAAGUAGAAAGGUUCUUUAACUCUUCCUCCUGCAUCUCACCAAAGUGACUGUGGGUUUUUCUCCCUUGAGGAAUUUUGAAUUUUAAAGGUGAGCUGUGAAAAGUUGUGUAUCUUUAUGUUCCUCUCUGGAACCGCAACACAUCAUCCAUUCUUUCCUUCCUCUCCUGUAAAAACUAAAACAUUGAAUUUCUAGAUGUCCCAUGAUAGGAUAUACAUUUUUGCUUUAACCUGAAGAUUCAAUAAUGCAUACCCGGCUGUGAGAUCCAACAGUUGAAUUCUGAAUAAAUCCAGCAAGUGGCAGGCAAAGACAGCUAUCACUCAGUUAAAGCGGUUUUGCAACAGUAAAAUAACUCAUUAAAAUGGCCAGUUAUUCUAUCUGCAGUCUCUUCUGAGUGCCAUCAUACACAUUAACAACUGCCAUCUAAAUAUUUAUGGCACUGCAUCCUUAACAUGCUGGUUAAGGCAGCCAAAGUGGAGUGCAGAGGCCCUUUGACUAAGACAGGUGUGUGGCAGUCUCCAGUUAGAGCCUUCCCAGAUGACCUCACAGUGACAACUACAUCAGUCAUAGGUUGUAGAUAGAUCCUGCAGGGGUAGAGAGACUCAUCGCAUGGACAAAGAUGAUCAUUAAUAGACAAUAGGUGCAGAAGUAGACCAUUCGGCCCCUCGAGUCUGCACCGCCAUUCUGAGAUCAUGGCUGAUCAUUCACUAUCAAUACCCAGUCCCUGCCUUGUCCCCAUAUCCCUUGAUUCCCCUAUCCAUCAGAUAUCUAUCCAGCUAUCUAUCAGAUAUCCAUCAGAUAUCAUUAAGCCAGAGGAAUCCAGGUUUCUGGUGUUAAAGAAUGGCAGACUCAAGUUCCGUUUCUCCUUUCUCAUGAAACCAGUCAAGAGCCUGGGGAGGGUCUUUAACUGCAGCCUAAGAAAUGCAAUUGCCAUCCAGUAGACCACCAAGGAGUUAGAAGUCUGGCUUACCAAUACGGACAAGUCAGCCCUACCUGACAAGUCCAAGGCCUGGAUCAAGCAGCAUAGCUUCCUCCCCUGAAUCCCCUGGCCCAUGCUAGUAUAUGAGGUAUCCUUGUCAACAGUUGAGCUCUUGAAAGAACCAUUAGUGGCUACCUUCCAAGGUGACUGGGACUCCCACAUAGCCUGAGCAGCACUGCUUUGUACAGGAAGGGGAAUAAAAUGCAGCUUCUCUUCAGCAGGCUGAACAAGGAGUCAUGGUUUCCUGUACAAGUUAAUUGCUGCUGUACAGAGAUGCCAGCAAUCCCAGUCUUGUCAGCAGGCAUUGUGGUCUGGACAGGCAGGAAAUGGAAGGUCGAGAUGCAGUGGAGAUGACUGAGGCACAGGGAUCUGGUAGGGACAGUAGCUUCUGGUCGGGCAGGGCUGGACAGCUUCCUUUGCCCCGCUGUCAUAGGGCCCAGGGCAGGGACAGAUGCAAAUAGGUCAAGGAAGUGAGUACCACCAGGAUGGUAGGAAUGGGGCAGCAGGGAUCUUGAACAAGCUGGAAGGGUAUGCUGAAGCAGAUCUCCUGGUCCAACAUUUAGCAGGCAGAACCCCAGCACGUCAAGUUCAUGAUCCAGGUUGCGUAUGAUGACCUGCCUAAUCCAGCAAACCUUUUUGCUUGGUAUAAAAGUGAGGGCCAUGGCAGAGGGACCCUAGAACACUUCCUCAGCAGCAGACCAAAAGCUUUAGUAGAAGGAUGCUAUCGCUGGCACCAUGGCCUGCUGCUGAAAACAGUGGUAGGUAGUAUUGACAUGGCCAUUACAGCAGUAAGUGCUUCCACAACCCAGAAAACCCGUGGCCUUUGUCAAAGCUGGAGACCAACUACAGCCUCAGCACAGAUCACCAGCAGGCUUGCUCACCAUAGUGUAAUUGAAAGUCAAUCUUGGCAACCAAUUAAAGUUUCCUGACUUCAGUGCAUCAUCGUCCCUGAGGCCUGAUAUGGUCAUUCUGUCAGAAACCUCAAAGCAGGUGCUCAUGGUUGAACUGACAGUGCCUUGGGAAGACCAGAUUGAGGAGACGUUUGGGCAUAAGAAAGCCAAAUACCAGGACCGGUGGAGGGAACGAUGUGAGCCUGUAGAGGUUGGAGGUUAGAGCUUUUUGCUGGCUGCUCGCUGUGCAGAACCUAUUCUCUCCUUGGCAUUACAGGGGCUGCAAAGAAAAGAGCCAUCGAGAACAUCGCAGAGACUGCUAAACAAGCCUCCAAGUGGCUAUGGAUCAAGAGGUGUGACCUGUGAUCAACUCUACUGGGAUAUUAGCCAGGACUUGAUCAACGCUGGCAGGGUUGCCAGGGCGAGGGUGUCUGAUGUUAAAAAGACCAGAAACAGCCGAUGACCCAGGUUUAACAGGGGCACGACUGUGCAAGUGCGUGUAAGUCGGACUGUGAGGCAGCGGGAGUACUUAAAGACGGAGCAGGCGACGGAGUAGGAAGGCUUUGGCGAGCAGAGGCUGAGGACAAGCUUCACUCCAAGUGAGGCAAUUACUUGGGCUGACCCUCUGCUCCAGUGAAUCCACUCCACCAGUAAUGACCAGGACUCACAGACCAAACCGUGCUCACCUGCUGUUCUUGUCAUCAGACACUUUGCACCACAGCUUCUCGGAGAAAUGAUC